RNAcentral lists this ribosomal RNA (253 nucleotides) under uncultured bacterium. Its description in RNAcentral is "partial 16S ribosomal RNA". It matches the Rfam family "Bacterial small subunit ribosomal RNA", at positions 524 to 776 of the family's 1533-position model. The record is from RNAcentral.
GACAGAGGUCCCAAGCGUUGUUCGGAUUCAUUGGGCGUAAAGGGUGCGUAGGCGGCGCGGUAAGUCGGGUGUGAAAUCUCGGGGCUUAACUCCGAAACUGCAUUCGAUACUGCCGUGCUUGAGGACUGGAGAGGAGACUGGAAUUUACGGUGUAGCGGUGAAAUGCGUAGAUAUCGUAAGGAAGACCAGUGGCGAAGGCGGGUCUCUGGACAGUUCCUGACGCUGAGGCACGAAGGUCAGGGGAGCAAACGGG